This 505-nucleotide ribosomal RNA is filed under the name uncultured bacterium. RNAcentral's name for it is "partial 16S ribosomal RNA". It matches the Rfam family "Bacterial small subunit ribosomal RNA", at positions 899 to 1397 of the family's 1533-position model. The record is from RNAcentral.
ACUCAAAUGAAUUGACGGGGGCCCGCACAAGCGGUGGAGUAUGUGGCUUAAUUCGAUGCAACGCGAAGAACCUUACCUGGGCUUGACAUGCAUCUCUAAUCCGGCGAAAGCCGGUGAACCUCGCAAGAGGUAAUUUGCACAGGUGCUGCAUGGCUGUCGUCAGCUCGUGUCGUGAGAUGUUGGGUUAAGUCCCGCAACGAGCGCAACCCUUGUGACCUGUUGCUCCGGACCUUCGGGUUCUAGCACUCUGGUCAGACUGCCCUGUGAAACGGGGAGGAAGGUGGGGAUGACGUCAAGUCAGCAUGGCCCUUACGCCCAGGGCUGCACACGUACUACAAUGCCCAGCACAGAACGAGCCGAAGCCGCGAGGCAGGGGAAAUCAAUAACACUGGGCGCAGUUCGGAUCGCAGGCUGCAACUCGCCUGCGUGAAGCCGGAAUCGCUAGUAAUGGCGCAUCAGCUACGGCGCCGUGAAUACGUUCCCGGGCCUUGUACACACCGCCCGU